Molecule: ribosomal RNA, 233 nt
Filed under: uncultured bacterium
Lineage: Bacteria
Description: partial 16S ribosomal RNA
Rfam family: Bacterial small subunit ribosomal RNA
Source: RNAcentral
CGGGUGAGUAACGCGUGAGGAACCUGCCUCAAAGAAGGGGACAACAGUUGGAAACGACUGCUAAUACCGCAUAAGCCCACGGCUCGGCAUCGAGCAGAGGGAAAAGGAGCAAUCCGCUUUGAGAUGGCCUCGCGUCCGAUUAGCUAGUUGGUGAGGUAACGGCCCACCAAGGCGACGAUCGGUAGCCGGACUGAGAGGUUGAACGGCCACAUUGGGACUGAGACACGGCCCAG